GCUCCUGUAGCUCAGCCUGGAUAGAGCAUCGGACUUCUAAUCCGAGGGUCGCAGGUUCAAAUCCUGUCGGGAGCG
RNAcentral lists this transfer RNA (75 nucleotides) under Nanobdellota archaeon. RNAcentral describes it as "tRNA-Arg". It matches the Rfam family "tRNA". Rfam says of the family: Transfer RNA (tRNA) molecules are approximately 80 nucleotides in length. Their secondary structure includes four short double-helical elements and three loops (D, anti-codon, and T loops). The record is from RNAcentral. RNAcentral also lists the same sequence under 1 other name. Lineage: Archaea; Nanobdellati; Nanobdellota.